RNAcentral lists this unclassified non-coding RNA (200 nucleotides) under Agaricus sp. Its description in RNAcentral is "partial internal transcribed spacer 2". Lineage: Eukaryota; Fungi; Basidiomycota; Agaricomycetes; Agaricales; Agaricaceae. The record is from RNAcentral.
UUAAGUUCAGCGGGUAGUCCUACCUGAUUUGAGGUCAAGCAUUCAAAAGUAGUCUCACAAAGUAGAGACAAUUAGAAGCUGAACAUUACUGAGAGCAAUCCCCUCGCCAGUGCAGAUAAUUUAUCACACUUGUGGCAGAUCGCAAACGGUUCCGCUAAUGUAUUUCAGAGGAGCUGACCUCAAACGAGUGGCCAGCAAGC